ACAGCGUAACCUGAAAAGCUGCAAAAGAGUAAGGA
Molecule: regulatory RNA element, 35 nt
Organism: Paludibacter propionicigenes WB4
Lineage: Bacteria; Pseudomonadati; Bacteroidota; Bacteroidia; Bacteroidales; Paludibacteraceae
Rfam family: DUF805b RNA
About the family: Bacteroidetes, Chlorobi (1 example), Proteobacteria. Lineage (Flavobacteria)
Source: Rfam